CGGAGGGUGCAAGCGUUAUCCGGAUUUACUGGGUUUAAAGGGUGUGUAGGCGGACUUUUAAGUCAGCGGUGAAAUCUCCGGGCUCAACCCGGAAACUGCCAUUGAUACUAUUAGUCUUGAAUAUUGUUGAGGUAGGCGGAACGGGUCAUGUAGCGGUGAAAUGCAUAGAUAUGACCCGGAACACCGAUUGCGAAGGCAGCCUACUAAGCAAUUAUUGACGCUGAGGCACGAAAGCGUGGGGAUCAAACAGGAUUAGAUACCCUGGUAGUCCACGCCCUAAACGAUGAUUACUCGACGUUGGCGAUACACUGAUCAGCGUCCAAGCGAAAGCAUUAAGUAAUCCACCUGGGAAGUACGUUCGCAAGAAUG
RNAcentral lists this ribosomal RNA (369 nucleotides) under uncultured organism. RNAcentral's name for it is "bacterial SSU rRNA". It matches the Rfam family "Bacterial small subunit ribosomal RNA", at positions 526 to 896 of the family's 1533-position model. The record is from RNAcentral.